GAUGAACGCUGGCGGCGUGCCUAACACAUGCAAGUCGAGCGAAGCGCUUAAGUCAGAUUCUUCGGAUGAAGGCUUUUGUGACUGAGCGGCGGACGGGUGAGUAACGCGUGGGUAACCUGCCUUACACAGGGGGAUAACAGUUAGAAAUGACUGCUAAUACCGCAUAAGACCACAGUACUGCAUGGUACAGUGGUAAAAACUGAGGUGGUGUAAGAUGGACCCGCGUCUGAUUAGGUAGUUGGUGGGGUAACGGCCCACCAAGCCGACGAUCAGUAGCCGGCCUGAGAGGGUGGACGGCCACAUUGGGACUGAGACACGGCCCAG
Molecule: ribosomal RNA, 324 nt
Filed under: uncultured bacterium
Lineage: Bacteria
Description: bacterial SSU rRNA
Rfam family: Bacterial small subunit ribosomal RNA
Source: RNAcentral